RNAcentral lists this ribosomal RNA (465 nucleotides) under uncultured Klebsiella sp. Its description in RNAcentral is "bacterial SSU rRNA". It matches the Rfam family "Bacterial small subunit ribosomal RNA", at positions 338 to 795 of the family's 1533-position model. Lineage: Bacteria; Pseudomonadati; Pseudomonadota; Gammaproteobacteria; Enterobacterales; Enterobacteriaceae. The record is from RNAcentral.
CCUACGGGGGGCAGCAGUGGGGAAUAUUGCACAAUGGGCGCAAGCCUGAUGCAGCCAUGCCGCGUGUGUGAAGAAGGCCUUCGGGUUGUAAAGCACUUUCAGCGGGGAGGAAGGCGGUGAGGUUAAUAACCUCAUCGAUUGACGUUACCCGCAGAAGAAGCACCGGCUAACUCCGUGCCAGCAGCCGCGGUAAUACGGAGGGUGCAAGCGUUAAUCGGAAUUACUGGGCGUAAAGCGCACGCAGGCGGUCUGUCAAGUCGGAUGUGAAAUCCCCGGGCUCAACCUGGGAACUGCAUUCGAAACUGGCAGGCUAGAGUCUUGUAGAGGGGGGUAGAGUUCCAGGUGUAGCGGUGAAAUGCGUAGAGAUCUGGAGGAAUACCGGUGGCGAAGGCGGCCCCCUGGACAAAGACUGACGCUCAGGUGCGAAAGCGUGGGGAGCAAACAGGAUUAGAUACCCGGGUAGUC